ACUGGGGAGCCGCUCCCCACCACUCGCGGACUUCGGAAUUGGCUGGCGGCCUGACGGGCGCCGCGGCCGCAGCGCGUUUCCGCAGUUUGUCGAGCCCCGAGGAUGCGCGCCCUGCCAGCCCUGGACGCGCCCCCGAGCGAGCGCCUCCUGUCCCGGGACUCCGGGGCCCCCCGGGCCCAGGACCCGGCGGGGCCGACGCGCAGGAGCGCGGUGGAAAGGCUGGCAGCCGACCGCUCCAAGUACGUGCGGGGCCCGCCGGGAGCCGGCCCAGGCCCGGCUUGCGAGGGCAGCGGCCCCGGGGCGAGCGAAGGGCAGGCGGGCGACCCUCGGCCCCCGGCGCGCGUCCCCGGUGCGGUGGCGCGCAGGGCCAUAGCGCGGAAGCCGCUGAGGCCGGACUCGCUGGUUAUCUACCGACAGAAAUGCGAGUUCGUCCGAGGGUCGGGAGCCGACAGCCCCAGGGGAGGCCUGGUGAAGAAGCUCUUCCCGGGGCCGGGCAAGGACAAGACGCCGGGGUCCCCCGGCACGUCCCGGGUGGGAGGGGAGGGCGGGGCCGGCGCCCAGGAGGCCGCCCCGACCGAACCCGGCCCCGUCGUGGCUCCCGCGGUGCCGGGGCCCUCCGCGCCCCCGGCUUCCGCCCCGCCGGUCAGGGCGCCCUCCAGAGUUACGGCUGCGCCCCGGGGUCCGGAGCUGCUCGGGGCGAGGCACCGGGGGCUGCAGCGUUCGCAGUCCGACCUCAGCUCGCGCUACUCCGCGUCCUUGGCCGAAUUUGACACCUUCUUCCAGUACUGCGGCCUGGAGCCCGAGGUGGUGGAGGCGAUCGGGCGGGAGAACUUCUCCGCCGGGUCGGACGUCGUCGCCCUCAAGGUCCGCAGCGUGAGCGUCGCCACCUCCGACAGCGGCUUCUCCCGGCACAGCGGCGGCGACGAGGGGCUGCAGGAAGAAGAGCUCACGGAGCAGGUGCCCAGCACCACCUCGGUGGUCGAGAGGAACGCCCGCAUCAUCAAGUGGCUGUACACCUGUAAGAAGGCCAAGGAGACCCCCGGCCAGGGGCUGCAGGGCCCGGCGUGACCGCUGCGCCCCGGGAGACCCGGACCGAGGUGGGGGUCGGAUGUCACCUGUAUCCUGAGCUGUUUCAUAUUACUGCUCAGAGAAGGGAGAUGGAAUUGACACGGAACCUGCCCAAUUUUCUGUAUGUCAUUGGCAAUCACCAGCACUGUAAAGAUUUUCUCUACAAAUUCACUCUCCUAGACCCAAAACAGCUCAGGUUAUUUGAACUUCCACCCAGGACACCUAAGGGCUGGCUGCUCGGAGAACUGUGAGGAAGAAAUGCAUGUCCUUUCUCCAGCUCCACUGGGACUGGGACGAUGUCUGCCCAUGAUCACGGCCCCUCAACUUGCCAUUCGCAGACACGAAGCCCUCUCUGAAGAAGAGCCAGGAGAGCGCUUAGACCCUUCGCCUUCAUUGGUGAGGGUCUUCUGGCAGCUUGAACAAAAUGCAGCUGACCUUUUCCCACAGGAUUACUUGGCCGAGAUUAAUUCCAUAACUUCUGGAAGCUGUGGAAGCAAGACUACAAGAAAAAGGCCUGCGGGGAGAUGCAUGCAGAGAAACCAGAUGAUAGCUGCUUUUGCCACUGAUUUCUUUUCAAAAUUUAAAAUGUGCAAAGGAGAUGCUUAAAAUGCAGAAAAUAUCACAAAACCAAAAACUGCAGGGACCAGACUUUGUAGUUCAAUGCUUGGCUUUAUAACUUUUGCCUAGAAUGGUGUUGAUUGACAGCUUUUUCCUUAUCCUCAGGAAGCAAGCCUUCCCGACAGUGGGGACUCCUUGAAGUACGUCUGGUUGAUUGGGACCCCAGGGCCAUCCUCACUGCCAGGUUUUGUCCAGUGUACCCAGGUGUCCAUAUGAUUGCUGUUUUCCCAGGAAUAAAGCACGCCAUUGAAGAAGCCUAAGCAAUUUCAGAAGGUUGGAAGUGCUAUGGAGAAGAUGGGGACAUAGAACUUGGAAAUUAGCUGAGUUAUAACUGUUAUGACACAGCUGUAGCUCUGGAAGAUAUUUUCUUGUGUUAGGUGGACCUAUCCUUGCUUCCAGAGAGCAGCAGAAGAGGGAAAAACUGCUUGGAGAUAUUUUCAAGGGCAUCUUUUUGAGUGGCUUGCUGACAAAGAGGUACAAUUAUACAUUUUGAUGAUAUCUAAAUUAAUUUUAAAAAGAAAAAAGGCAAAGAGCAUGAAAAGCAAACACGAAUGCCACGGUAUUUACUUCUUCAAUCAUAUUGGAUGGAUUGGCACCAUUUAAAUCAAAGUUCUGUGAUCAUAAGAAGUUAUAUUCUACACAAAUACUAUGGCUAACAAAGAGCAAACGCAUGCUCACACUUGCAUACUCACACGUAGACCUCAAUUUCUAAGCACCACUGCACCGUAAACUACAGUGAAUUCCCAAACUGUGCAACUGAUCAUCUUAUGAAAUGAAUCAGAAAGCACUUUUAAAACCACUUGAGAGCUGCAAGGUCAUUCUGUGAACAUCACUCCUGUUGGGUUGUAGACAUGCAGAGGUACCAGUAAAAGAUAAAGAGCUGAAAUACUGCUCGGAAACCUUUUCUUGUACCUGGACAGUUCCUUGAGAGUUGGCAGAAGAAUAUUGGAGCUUCCUUCCUUCAGAUCAACAGCAGUGGUCCUCUUCUGCAGCACCGUUCAGAAUAUGGGCCUCCAUGGUUCUCUUGUUCCCAGCUUCCAAAAGGAUAAAAAGCCUCGGUUUAGACAGAACAUGGACUCAUGACAAGUGAUGUGCCCUGCUCUCUGGUCUAAUUCACACACCCACCUAUCAGGCAAUCAUUCCAAACUUGGCAACACUUCACCCUUCUCUGAAAAGGGUGUGUUUGAGACAAGGGUUAGCCUCUGGGUGUCCAUAAGGAGUUACUGUGACCCUAAAUCUGAACCAGCUCAUGGCACUCAGAGUAAAUAGAUUUCAGAUUCAGAAACUUCUGGGAGGAAUUUUGUAUCGAUGAUGACGACCCAAAGAAAACUUGUCACCUGGUCAAAGCUUACAAUGUUUUGUCAAAAUAUGUCCCUUCAAGAAUAAAAUUAUUAGAAGAAUCGAGAGGGAAGAGAAAUAGCUUUCUCAGUGGUAAAAUAUUUUAUAAACCAAUUUUGAUAUAUUCAUGUAUUUGUUUAAUAUUGUAUUCUAUUUUUGUAACUGUUUUACUGUGAGAAUAUGUCCUUGAAUUACUUAAAUAUUUAUUUUUACAUAGUUAUUGGUCUUCAAAUAGUUUUCCUACACCGUAUGGUUUUAGUUUUUAUCAGGAUAAUUUUAAAUCAUUCUCUCCUUGAUUAUCUUUUUGUAUGUUGUUUAAUUGAAUUUCCAAAUUUGACUGUAAGCAGAGUGUUCACUACUCUAUAAAGUGCUCUGUACUCUAGGGAUUUGUUUUCAAGUAAAACACAGAUGCGCAUUUGGGGAGGCUCUGUUGGCUGAUGGAUGUACCUCUGUCAAUGUAGUCUCUAGAAAGACAAAGAUUCCCUGCUCUAAGAAAUGUUUCCCUGUUGUUUUUUUAAAAAUGCUGCUGUUCUGCUGUUCACUGGAUUACACUUAGUUUAAAGAUAAUGUCAAAGAUGAGAGGAGUUUUCUUUAAAGGACCUUUUCAUAUAUGCAGUUCCCUUGUUUACAGGUUCCAUUAAUUUUAUAUGUGAAUGCUUUAAGUAAAAUUGUUAUGUGACUUUCUAUUGUCAGAAUAGGAUGAACCGAAACCUAGCUCAGAUUUAUCUGAGAUCAAAAUGGUGCGGACUCUACCAUCCGUGUAAUAGAUGAAAAAGAGAAAAACAAAUUGGUUACCAUUUAAAAGCACCAAGAUCUUUGAGAAGCAUUUGCACUUCAGUGGAGGCGACUCCUGGAAGGAGCUGUCAGGAACAGGGUAUCCCCAGACCCCAGCAGGAUGGGUUAACGCUCCCUCUUGUCCGUUCAGAUUCAUGCCUAAGCUCCGGGCCUGAGUGUGUGGUUGGAGGCCAGAGGUCCUUUCCUCACUGAAUUACCCCAAUUUGCUGAGUGACUUUGAGAAAAUCAAACUGUGUAGCUCAAUCUGAAUGAAAAAGCUUGUAAUUGCUUUUCACUAUUGCGGCAAAAUAGUUUCUUUUGUUCACAAAAGAAUAGCUUCUCAGAUAAUAAGAUUAAGCACGAUGGAGAGAAAAAAUUAUUGCUACAGCAUGGAAAAUAUCUUGGUAGUAUCUAUUUCAUUAAUACAUGGGUACAGAUCAGCAAUGCCUCAGAGUGAAAGGUAUUUAUGUAACUGGAAAGCUUCCUCACUAUAUACUGAUGCAUACAGUUUCUAAACUGCUGGUCACUGACACUGGAAUACAAAGAAGGAUUUAUCAAACGUUGCCCUUUUCAGUGGGUUAAAGGUGCAGUGCUGUAGUUGGUGAUUCCGUAAGAUAUCAGGCCCAGACAAUUGUUACGGCUGUCUCUGAAUAGAGUUCAUGUUUUCUGCACGCUUCUUGCGACAUGAGUGUAAUAUUGUAUAUUCUGUAUCAAAGAAAUAAAGUAUUUUUUAUCAUU
Lagenorhynchus albirostris (white-beaked dolphin) is the source of this 4536-nucleotide RNA transcript. It is a transcript of the gene named family with sequence similarity 110 member C, with no coding region annotated. The record is from RefSeq and is a predicted model, not a curated record. The transcript is spliced from 3 exons. NCBI's taxonomy places the organism in Eukaryota, Metazoa, Chordata, Mammalia, Artiodactyla, Delphinidae.